UUCCUACGGGGGGCAGCAGUGAGGAAUAUUGGUCAAUGGGAGAGAUCCUGAACCAGCCAAGCCGCGUGAGGGAAGACGGCCCUAUGGGUUGUAAACCUCUUUUGUCGGAGAACAAAACCCGGGACGUGUCCCGGACUGCGUGUAUCCGAAGAAAAAGCAUCGGCUAACUCCGUGCCAGCAGCCGCGGUAAUACGGAGGAUGCGAGCGUUAUCCGGAUUUAUUGGGUGUAAAGGGAGCGUAGACGGCAGCGCAAGUCUGGAGUGAAAUGCAGGGGCCCAACCCCGGAACUGCUCUGGAACCUGUGA
RNAcentral lists this ribosomal RNA (305 nucleotides) under uncultured bacterium. RNAcentral describes it as "bacterial SSU rRNA". It matches the Rfam family "Bacterial small subunit ribosomal RNA", at positions 336 to 638 of the family's 1533-position model. The record is from RNAcentral.